This 320-nucleotide ribosomal RNA is filed under the name uncultured eukaryote. RNAcentral's name for it is "partial 18S ribosomal RNA". It matches the Rfam family "Eukaryotic small subunit ribosomal RNA", at positions 1470 to 1796 of the family's 1831-position model. The record is from RNAcentral.
CCCCUAGAUGUUCUGGGCCGCACGCGCGCUACACUGAACAGUUCAACAAGUCUUAACCUUGGCCGAUAGGUCUGGGUAAUCUUUGAACGCUGUUCGUGAUUGGGAUAGACCUUUGCAAUUAUGGGUCUUCAACGAGGAAUUCCUAGUAAACGCAAGUCAUCAGCUUGCAUUGAUUACGUCCCUGCCCUUUGUACACACCGCCCGUCGCACCUACCGAUUGAAUGGUCCGGUGAAAUCUCGGGACGGCGGCUUGGUCGCUUGCGUCCGACUGCUGAAACUUGAUUAAACCAUAUCAUUUAGAGGAAGGUUAAGUCGUAACA